RNAcentral lists this ribosomal RNA (494 nucleotides) under uncultured bacterium. RNAcentral describes it as "partial 16S ribosomal RNA". It matches the Rfam family "Bacterial small subunit ribosomal RNA", at positions 28 to 523 of the family's 1533-position model. The record is from RNAcentral.
GAUGAACGCUAGCGGCAGGCCUAACACAUGCAAGUCGAGGGGUAGAACACUUCGGUGUUUGAGACCGGCGCACGGGUGCGUAACGCGUAUGCAAUCUGCCUUACACUAAGGGAUAGCCUAGAGAAAUUUGGAUUAAUACCUUAUAGUAUAUUGAUGUGGCAUCACAUUAUUAUUAAAGAUUUAUUGGUGUAAGAUGAGCAUGCGUCCCAUUAGCUAGUUGGUAUGGUAACGGCAUACCAAGGCGAUGAUGGGUAGGGGUCCUGAGAGGGAGAUCCCCCACACUGGUACUGAGAAACGGACCAGACUCCUACGGGAGGCAGCAGUGAGGAAUAUUGGUCAAUGGUCGCAAGACUGAACCAGCCAUGCCGCGUGCAGGAUGAAGCAUCUAUGGUGUGUAAACUGCUUUUGUACGGGAAGAAACACCUCUUCGUGAAGAGGCUUGACGGUACCGUAAGAAUAAGGAUCGGCUAACUCCGUGCCAGCCGCCGCGGUAA